AAAGCGGGUGAAAAACCCGCUCGCCGGAAGACCAAGGGUUCCUGUCCAACGUUAAUCGGGGCAGGGUGAGUCGACCCCUAAGGUGAGGCCGAGAGGCGUAGCUGAUGGGAAACAGGUUAAUAUUCCUGUACUGAAUGUGACUGCGAAGGGGGGACGGAGAAGGCUAGGCCAUCCGGGCGACGGUUGUCCCGGUUUAAGCGUGUAGGUGGGAGGAGCAGGUAAAUCCGCUCUUCUGUGAACACUGAGGCGUGAUGACGAGCCGUUACGGCGGUGAAGUGGUUGAUGCCCGGCUUCCAGGAAAAGCCUCUAAGCCUCAGGUCAUAUUGAAUCGUACCCCAAACCGACACAGGUGGUCAGGUAGAGAAUACUCAGGCGCUUGAGAGAACUCGGGUGAAGGAACUAGGCAAAAUGGUGCCGUAACUUCGGGAGAAGGCACGCUGGCGGUAGGUGAAGGAGUUUGCCUCCGGAGCCGAAGCCAGUCGCAGAGACCAGCU
This 494-nucleotide ribosomal RNA is filed under the name Citrobacter braakii. Its description in RNAcentral is "partial 23S ribosomal RNA". It matches the Rfam family "Bacterial large subunit ribosomal RNA", at positions 1314 to 1791 of the family's 2925-position model. Lineage: Bacteria; Pseudomonadati; Pseudomonadota; Gammaproteobacteria; Enterobacterales; Enterobacteriaceae. The record is from RNAcentral.